AACAGCGCGCGGACGUGCGCCCCCUGCCGGCCAGAGCGCGGCGCGCGGCCUACGCCGCCAGCGCCUCGUGAGAGUUGACGGUGCGCCCGGGAGCGCCGCUCAGCCAAUGGCCGCCCGCGCUGCGGCCCUGGACACGCCCUCUUCGAGAGGACCGCCGGAGGUCCAUCCUCCCAGGCCUUGAGAGCGUGCCUGCUUCUGUGUCUAAGGAGCUGAUGCGAUGGCGCGAGUGUCUCAUUGCCCGCGCCCCGCUCUGUUUUUUAAAUUUAUUUUUAUUUUUUCCUUUUGCUUUGCUUUGCCCAAGAGUCUUUCCCCCAAACUGAUCAUUCUUCUUCCAGCGUGUUGAUUUACCUAUUUGCUGGUGCUGUAUGAAACCAGAGAGUACAACUUUAAUUUUCCCCUUUCAGAAGCCUAAUCCUUCGAGAGAAAGGCCUCAGCCCAUGAAACAUUAAACAAUAAAAAUACCACGGGGCAGUUAGUUUCCAGGCUGGCACACUCAGGAGUGCACGGAGGACUUCACGUUGUUUCUGAGAUGUACAUUUGUAGACCCUUUGAGACCACACGUGGUAGCACGCGCCUACAAUUCCUCCACUCGGCAGGCUGAGGCAGGAUCCUCGGAGGGAGGAUCAGGAACCCAGUGUUAGCCUGGGCUGUGGAAUGCAAAUACCUACUUUAAAACAACCAACGGACAGUGCCUUGCAUAUUUUACUUAAUAAUACUGUUGCUGUAACUCCAUGGUUUCUUGGUGAAGAGAAAAGUAAUCUACAUUUCCUUUGGCUGCAGAAGAAAGGGAUACAAGCCAGAAGAACUUGGCUGCAAAGUCAUUGUGAUCAGAUGCAAAGCUGCUGUGCUCUGGAAGCCUGGAGCCCCACUGCCAUUGAGGAGAUGGAAGUGGCCUCACCAAAGCGAAGGAGGUUCGAAUAAAGGCUGGAAACCCAAAGAGGAAAUCCCUAAGCUGGUUUCUGACUACAUGGCACAGAAGUUUAACCUAGAUCCUCUGGUCACCCACACCCUGACUCUCAGUGAGGUCCAUGAGGCAGUUCAGCUAAUGAAAAGCGGGCAACGGUAAUCACUUGUCACUUCUGUCCGUGUCUGGAUGUGGGGACAGGGGGUUGUCGCUGCUACAGUACUACACAAAGAUCUACCCUUGCCCUCUGAAUUUUGCUUUAUUGCUGGGAGUGUUAAGGUAGUAGAUAGGGUUCACAUUAUUUCUUCAUACAAGAUGGAGCUAAAGAUGCCAUCCCAUAAAGUUAGGAUCUAAGUUUAGGAACACGAGUUACAGAGCUGGAGAAAAGACUCUGCAGGUGAAAACUCUUGCUGCAACGAUGAACAUCCUGGCUUUAAUCCCCAGUACCCCAUAGAGAUGGUAGGAGAGGCCCGACUGCACAAGGCUGUCCUUCUGACUUCCUUAUGCACACUUGGCGCACAUCUAUCCUCUACUCCUCCCCACAGUAAGAUAAAAUAUGGAAAGAAAGGUUGAAGCCACUUUACAAGGGGGUGUAGUUAUCAUGUUCAUGUUUUAUUUCUGUGUGGGGAUCGUCUAUAGAAUUCCUAAUGCUAAUACCUCCUCCUGGUAGAGACUGACCCGAAACGACACCAGCACUUCUCUCAGUUAAAGCUCCUUACCUACUCUAUCACCGUGGGAACUGCAUGUUGCUUUGUUCAUUUUUCUCCUCGUUUGUUAAUCUGUCCCCAUUCCCUUUUUUUUUACCCAAUAGCAAAGGAAGUGACACUAGUUUAUAGGUCUAACACACGAGAAUUUGAAUCCAAAACCCACAGUGCAUCGGAAAUUCCUCAAUGUUUUCUUUCUUCUUCUUCUUCUUCUUCUUCUUCUUCUUCUUCUUCUUCUUCUUCUUCUUCUUCUUCUUCUUCUUCUUCUUCUUCCUCUCUCUCUCUCUCUCUCUCUCUCUCUCUCUCUCUCUCUCUCUCUCUAGUAUCAGCUGUGUCCUGCUACCAUAAUUACAAGAGCUACAUAUUUCAUCAUGUAUCAAGAUUUAAAAUAAUCUGCCACACAAUGCUUUUCUAUUUUCUUGGCUUUCAUUUACUCAGCAACAAUUUUUGUAUCAAGCUUCUCACCUGACCACACCAUCGAAGUGAUUCCCAUGUGACUCAGUGCCAUGGAGAACCAGCCUCCCUUUUACAGCCAUGUUAAGGUUGAUGUGAAUCACCCAAUAGCAGAUGCUGCAGAUGAAGGCACACCAAGAGGCUCUGUUGGCACAGCUGUCUCUACCUAGGGACGCACAUUUCCUCACUCACUGGAUCUUUCCCACGCUGUAUGGAUCCACACAUGAAGCUCUGUGGAUGGUCCAUACAGUGCAGAAUUCCCACCAGAGACAUAACUGGAAUUGAUAAACAAUUGAGCUAGUGUUUAGGUCAUACCACCACCACCACAAGAACCAAUAGUGUGGUUGUAUGGCAAUAGCGAGGCAUCUGAUAGAGAAAUCAAGGAAGCAAUCUCACAACUGUUGUGAGAUUGAUCUCACAAAUAAAUGAACAACAUAGAAACAAAUUUAGUCAAAGGUGAAAUAUAUCUACAAUAAAAAGUAUAAAACAUUGCAGAGUGUCAUGGUAUACUUCUUUAGUCCAAACAUCUUGAUGGCCAAGGAAGGCAGACUAUGUAAGUUCAGGACUAGCAACAUGGUCACAUAGCAAAUUUUACACAGCCUGAUUGUGUAGAAUUGAUCAUGUCUCAAAUAUAGACAUAUUUAAAUAUAUACAUAAAGGAAAACAUUCUUUGUUCAUGAUUCAAGACUUAGAAGAAUCUAUAUUGUUAAAUGUCCACGCUAUCCAAAGAGAUCUACAGAUUCAAUGCAGUCUUAACAAAGCACCAGUAAAAUUCCUCACAGAUUAAAAAAUAGCCUUCAAAUCUGUAUGAAACCUCAAAAAUGCAAAUAGACAAAGUAACCCUGUUCAUAAAGUACAAAAUGGGAGCCGUUAUACUCCAAAAUACACUACUGAGUUGUAGUGACCAAAGCAACAAGGUUUGGCAGAAAACCAGAAUCACAGACCAGUGGGACAGAACAGAGAGCCCAAGAAACCUGAAUACAUUCAAAGAACAAGCUAAGAAGGUGCUAAGAAGAUGCACCAAAGGAAGUAGGGUCUUUUCAAUUACUGGCCCUAUGAAAAUAGAUAUGGAAAAAAAUAAAGCUAGACUUCCCCCUUUCUCUUGAGCCAGUUACAAAAAUGAACUCUAAGUACACAGAAGUCUUCAAUGGAGGGACCUAAACUACUAUAAGAAAACAGAAGGAACAAUUCUGGACCUUGAAGACGGGCCAGGAAUUGCU
Long non-coding RNA from Mus musculus (house mouse), 3281 nucleotides. RefSeq annotates it as predicted gene, 46822. The transcript has 5 exons. NCBI's taxonomy places the organism in Eukaryota, Metazoa, Chordata, Mammalia, Rodentia, Muridae. The record is from RefSeq and is a predicted model, not a curated record.